GGUGGAUUUCUCCCUAGCUCCGACGGAAUGGCGCUCGUGGUUAGUUCGGCCGUCUUGUAUCGCACGAGCGUUUGUAAACGCUCGUGCGACUCAAGGCGGCGGAACUAGUCACGAGCGCCCUUCCAUCGGAGCUAGGUAGAAAUUCACGA
This 149-nucleotide microRNA precursor is filed under the name Ectocarpus siliculosus. Its description in RNAcentral is "MIR3454 microRNA precursor family". It matches the Rfam family "MIR3454 microRNA precursor family". Lineage: Eukaryota; Phaeophyceae; Ectocarpales; Ectocarpaceae. The record is from Rfam by way of RNAcentral.